RNAcentral lists this ribosomal RNA (459 nucleotides) under uncultured bacterium. RNAcentral's name for it is "partial 16S ribosomal RNA". It matches the Rfam family "Bacterial small subunit ribosomal RNA", at positions 338 to 795 of the family's 1533-position model. The record is from RNAcentral.
CCUACGGGAGGCAGCAGUGAGGAAUAUUGGUCAAUGGACGAGAGUCUGAACCAGCCAAGUAGCGUGAAGGAUGACUGCCCUAUGGGUUGUAAACUUCUUUUAUAUGGGAAUAAAAUGUUCCACGUGUGGGAUGUGUAUGUACCAUAUGAAUAAGGAUCGGCGAACUCCGUUCCAGCAGCCGCGGGAAUACGGAGGAUCCGAGCGUUGUCCGGAUUUAUUGGGUUUAAAGGGAGCGUGGGUGGAUUGUUACGUCAGUUUUGAACGUUUGCGGCUCAACCGUAAAAUUGCAGUUGAAACUGGCAGUCUUGAGUACAGUAGAGGUGGGCGGAAUUCGUGGUGUAGCGGUGAAAUGCUUAGAUAUCACGAAGAACUCCGAUUGCGAAGGCAGCUCACUGGACUGCAACUGACACUGCGGCUCGAAAGUGUGGGUAUCAAACAGGAUUAGAUACCCGGGUAGUC